RNAcentral lists this ribosomal RNA (217 nucleotides) under Dracocephalum peltatum. RNAcentral's name for it is "Lallemantia peltata 5.8S ribosomal RNA". The stretch from base 84 to 217 matches the Rfam family "5.8S ribosomal RNA", at positions 1 to 132 of the family's 154-position model. From Rfam's summary of the family: 5.8S ribosomal RNA (5.8S rRNA) is a component of the large subunit of the eukaryotic ribosome. It is transcribed by RNA polymerase I as part of the 45S precursor that also contains 18S and 28S rRNA. Lineage: Eukaryota; Viridiplantae; Streptophyta; Magnoliopsida; Lamiales; Lamiaceae. The record is from RNAcentral.
GGAAAACAGAAACGAAGCGUCCGCCCCCCGCUCCCCGUCCGCGGAGCGUGCGGGGGACCGGCCGUCUAUCAAAAUGUCAUAACGACUCUCGGCAACGGAUAUCUCGGCUCUCGCAUCGAUGAAGAACGUAGCGAAAUGCGAUACUUGGUGUGAAUUGCAGAAUCCCGUGAACCAUCGAGUCUUUGAACGCAAGUUGCGCCCGAAGCCAUCAGGCCGA